GAUGAACGCUGGCGGCGUGCCUAAUACAUGCAAGUCGAGCGAACGGACGAGAAGCUUGCUUCUCUGAUGUUAGCGGCGGACGGGUGAGUAACACGUGGAUAACCUACCUAUAAGACUGGGAUAACUUCGGGAAACCGGAGCUAAUACCGGAUAAUAUUUUGAACCGCAUGGUUCAAAAGUGAAAGACGGUCUUGCUGUCACUUAUAGAUGGAUCCGCGCUGCAUUAGCUAGUUGGUAAGGUAACGGCUUACCAAGGCAACGAUGCAUAGCCGACCUGAGAGGGUGAUCGGCGACACUGGAACGGAGACACGGUCCAGACUCCUACGGGAGGCAGCAGUAGGGAAUCUUCCGCAAUGGGCGAAAGCCUGACGGAGCAACGCCGCGUGAGUGAUGAAGGUCUUCGGAUCGUAAAACUCUGUUAUUAGGGAAGAACAUAUGUGUAAGUAACUGCGCACAUCUUGACGGUACCUAAUCAGAAAGCCACGGCUAACUACGUG
Molecule: ribosomal RNA, 497 nt
Filed under: uncultured bacterium
Lineage: Bacteria
Description: partial 16S ribosomal RNA
Rfam family: Bacterial small subunit ribosomal RNA
Source: RNAcentral